Molecule: ribosomal RNA, 487 nt
Filed under: uncultured bacterium
Lineage: Bacteria
Description: bacterial SSU rRNA
Rfam family: Bacterial small subunit ribosomal RNA
Source: RNAcentral
AUUGAACGCUGGCGGAAUGCUUUACACAUGCAAGUCGAACGGUAACAGGUCUUCGGAUGCUGACGAGUGGCGAACGGGUGAGUAAUAUAUCGGAACGUGCCCAGUCGUGGGGGAUAACGUAGCGAAAGUUACGCUAAUACCGCAUACGAUCUAUGGAUGAAAGCGGGGGAUCGCAAGACCUCGCGCGAUUGGAGCGGCCGAUAUCAGAUUAGGUAGUUGGUGGGGUAAAGGCUCACCAAGCCGACGAUCUGUAGCUGGUCUGAGAGGACGACCAGCCACACUGGAACUGAGACACGGUCCAGACUCCUACGGGAGGCAGCAGUGGGGAAUUUUGGACAAUGGACGCAAGUCUGAUCCAGCCAUUCCGCGUGCAGGACGAAGGCCUUCGGGUUGUAAACUGCUUUUGUACAGAACGAAAAGGUUUCUAUUAAUACUAGGGGCUCAUGACGGUACUGUAAGAAUAAGCACCGGCUAACUACGUGCCAGG